UACGGGGGUGCGAGCGUUGUCCGGAAUUACUGGGCGUAAAGGGCGCGUAGGGGGUUUGAUAAGGGUGUGGUGAAAGUCCGGGGCUCAACCCCGGAUCUGCCGUGCCGACUGUCAAACUCGAGGGCUGUAGAGGCAGACGGAAUUCCGGGUGUAGCGGUGGAAUGCGUAGAGAUCCGGAGGAAGACCGGUGGCGAAGGCGGUCUGCUGGGCAGUUUCUGACACUGAUGCGCGAAAGCGUGGGGAGCAAACAGG
Molecule: ribosomal RNA, 252 nt
Filed under: uncultured bacterium
Lineage: Bacteria
Description: partial 16S ribosomal RNA
Rfam family: Bacterial small subunit ribosomal RNA
Source: RNAcentral